GGGGGUCUGGCUCAGUGGUACAGUGCCUGCUUGGCAAGCAUGAGGUCCUGAGAUCAAUUCCUAGUACCCCCC
Molecule: transfer RNA, 72 nt
Filed under: Cavia porcellus (domestic guinea pig)
Lineage: Eukaryota; Metazoa; Chordata; Mammalia; Rodentia; Caviidae
Rfam family: tRNA
About the family: Transfer RNA (tRNA) molecules are approximately 80 nucleotides in length. Their secondary structure includes four short double-helical elements and three loops (D, anti-codon, and T loops).
Source: Rfam by way of RNAcentral